RNAcentral lists this transfer RNA (76 nucleotides) under Nitrososphaerota archaeon. RNAcentral's name for it is "tRNA-Arg". It matches the Rfam family "tRNA". Rfam says of the family: Transfer RNA (tRNA) molecules are approximately 80 nucleotides in length. Their secondary structure includes four short double-helical elements and three loops (D, anti-codon, and T loops). The record is from RNAcentral. Lineage: Archaea; Thermoproteati; Nitrososphaerota.
GGGCCCGUAGCCUAGCACGGAUCAGGGCACCAGCCUGCGGAGCUGGGGGUCGCCGGUUCGAAUCCGGCCGGGCCCG